This is an RNA transcript of Thalassophryne amazonica, 968 nucleotides long. It is a transcript of the gene named cold-inducible RNA-binding protein B-like, with no coding region annotated. The transcript is spliced from 8 exons. The record is from RefSeq and is a predicted model, not a curated record. Lineage: Eukaryota; Metazoa; Chordata; Actinopteri; Batrachoidiformes; Batrachoididae.
AAGGAAAAAUAGGAAGAAGAGCGCAUUGAAAAGCGGGGACUUCCAUUUCCUCUUCCCACUCGUCCAGCAGCUCUUUGGUCGUCUACAUCGUUUCAUUGUUGCUACACUAAAGAUGUCUGAUGAAGGUAAACUGUUUGUUGGAGGCCUGAGCUUCGAGACAAAUGAAGAUUCUCUGUCUGGAGCCUUCUCCAAAUAUGGGGAGAUUGAAAAAGUGGAUGUUAUCAGAGACAGAGAGACUGGAAGGUCUCGAGGCUUUGGCUUUGUGAAAUAUGAGAAUCCUGAAGAUGCAAAGGAUGCAUUGGGUGGAAUGGAUGGAAAGUCACUGGAUGGGCGAACCAUCCGUGUGGAUUACGCAGGAAGAGGGGGUGGACGUCGGGGUGGUGGCGGUGGUGGUGCCGGUGGCUUUGGAGGCCGUGGCUCAAGAUUUGGCCAGAGUCGCGGGAGAGGUGGCUAUAGAGAGGGUGGAUAUGGCGGCUAUAGUGACAGGAGUUAUGGCGGUGGUGACCGAGGUUAUCAAAGCAGGGACUACUCUGGUGGCUAUAAGAGUGGUGGCUACAGAGACAGCAGGAAUCAAGGAGGAUAUGACCGCAGCAGUGGUGGAUCGUACCGUGAUUCAUAUGACUAUGGAUGAUUGUUGAAGCUUGCACUGGACUGUCUUGUCUGAAAGGUUCCACUUCAGAUGGAUGUGAUGGCUGCAGCGCCACCUGUCAAGGUUCAGCUUGUUAGACGAGUGGAACUGUCAAGCAUGGCUGUGGGAAGGAGCCAUGACGAUACACUUGAGUCGAGGACUGAAAUGGGCUUCGUUUUAAUGAAUUUUAGUACAGUUGGACUGCAUACUAACUUGCGUCAAUAUGAUGUUCCUUUGUGGGCUUCAGUGAAGUUUCAUUGAUGUGCUUUUCUAUUUGCAUAUCAAGCUUGUGCAGUAUUCUCUCUGGCUGUAAAAAUGUGAAUAAACUACUUGACCUUAA